GGCUUUUCUUUUCUUUGAAGAUUCAAUGUCCGUUUCAACUUCAUUCAAAUAUGGAGUAUUAUAUAUGGUUUCAUUUGAAGCCCCAGUUUCACUUAUCUUACUUUGGGUUUCUGUCAUCUUCUUCAUGAGUUCAGGUCGAUGGAUCGCCGCCUCGGGCAGUUGCAGACUUGCGGUUGUUCUUCAGUCUUCACUCACGCAGGUAGUACUUAGUU
RNAcentral lists this unclassified non-coding RNA (212 nucleotides) under Hevea brasiliensis (rubber tree). Lineage: Eukaryota; Viridiplantae; Streptophyta; Magnoliopsida; Malpighiales; Euphorbiaceae. The record is from RNAcentral.